ACAUGCAAGUCGAACGAAGUAGCAAUACUUAGUGGCAGACGGGUGAGUAACAUGUAGGUAUCUACCCUUUGGCCUGGAAUAACACGAGGAAACUUGUGCUAAUACCGGAUAAGUCUUUACAGAGAAAGCUUUAUGCACCAUUGGAUGAGCCUGCACUAGAUUAGUUUGUUGGUGGGGUAAUGGCCUACCAAGACUGUGAUCUAUAGCUGAUUUGAGAGGAUGAUCAGCCACAUUGGGACUGAGACACGGCCCAAACUCCUACGGGAGGCAGCAGUGGGGAAUCUUGCACAAUGGAGGAAACUCUGAUGCAGCGAUGCCGCGUGAGUGAAGAAGGCCUUUGGGUUGUAAAGCUCUUUCGUCGGGGAAGAAAAUGACUGUACCCGAAUAAGAAGGUCCGG
This 398-nucleotide ribosomal RNA is filed under the name uncultured Pseudomonadota bacterium. Its description in RNAcentral is "bacterial SSU rRNA". It matches the Rfam family "Bacterial small subunit ribosomal RNA", at positions 53 to 496 of the family's 1533-position model. Lineage: Bacteria; Pseudomonadati; Pseudomonadota. The record is from RNAcentral.